GAACUCAAACCUUCAUUAACUUCAAAUAUAUGUCUCAACCAAAGUAAUAACACAAUGACAAUAAAAACAUCAUCUCUGACUACAAGUGCAACUAUGUUAAAUAUGACUUCUCUUAUUGAUCUAUUCAUUCCCCAUUGGCACCAGCAAUCACCAAUAAACCUUUCUGUAAUUCUUCAUUCUUCUAGCAGUCCAUUACCAGCAUAUAGGCAUAAAGCUUUCUCUUAAUAUUUUGGCUGUCCACGCUUUCCUGCAAUUCAUGAACACAUAGAAUUCAGAGGCACACAUAUGCUUAUGUUUUAGUACUGAUUAGUAAUCACCUAUGAAUAAACACGCAUGUUAUGUUAAUUUAAUUAUAUCACACCGAAUGGUGUAGCAUGGUAUACAAUUUUAGAUUAACCAUAUGAACUAUAAAUGACUCAUGACUGUAAAUGACUCAUGCCAGUGGUUACCUGUUAGCAAAAAUGCAAGGGAAUUAAAGAUAAGUACUCCUUUUUUCCACAUGACUUGAGUCUCUGCACAAAACAAAUAUAUAAGC
Molecule: long non-coding RNA, 535 nt
Filed under: Setaria italica (foxtail millet)
Lineage: Eukaryota; Viridiplantae; Streptophyta; Magnoliopsida; Poales; Poaceae
Description: long non-coding RNA (SITA_LNC002293)
Source: RNAcentral